Phyllostomus hastatus (greater spear-nosed bat) is the source of this 775-nucleotide long non-coding RNA. RefSeq lists it as uncharacterized. The record is from RefSeq and is a predicted model, not a curated record. The transcript has 3 exons. Lineage: Eukaryota; Metazoa; Chordata; Mammalia; Chiroptera; Phyllostomidae.
UUCAUUCUCAGGCUACACAGAGAGAAAUCAUGCCGGGCAAGUACAUUUCCUGAGGGCCUUUACUCUUCCAUGGCACUUUCCCCUUAGACUAGUCAAUAGAGAAUGUCCUUCUUUUUUACUACUCACGGUUUCAUAGCAGUUGUCUGGCUUCCUCUCUUAUCUGAUGUGUUUCUGUACUGCCAUACUGAAUUGGAAAUAUGAUUAGGAAGUAGUUACUAAUCUAUUCCACAAGUAUGCUUUUAGCACCAGGUGCCAUUUAUGAUAAUACACAGGACAGCUGUCCCUGUUCUCCAGAAACUUACAGUCCAGUGGCGGAAGCAGAAAACUGAGGAGGAGAUUUCAAUACAAACAAGCAAAGGCAGGCACUGUGAUAAGGUCUAAGGCAUGGCAUUUAAGGGAAUGAUAAUCCUUCAAAAUGGGAAGUCUAAAGGAUGUUUUCAGCAGAAUGAAAAUAACUCCAGAGGAAAGGCCCAAGUGGAAGAAGAAGAAUCAUAAGCAAAGACACCAAUGAAUUUACAAUGAAAUCUAAAACACAUAAACAGGAAGCAGAAAAACUACAUAAGUGAAGAGUGAAGACAACAAAUUACCUCCUUCAGGAUCUGAAAAUGACCCCUGAAACUGAGUGCUGCCACCAAGCCAAGAACAAGAUCAUCAUUGCUCUUGACAAGACAUGCAUGGUUUUUCACAGUGACUACUAAUUUUUUUAGUCUUAAAAUUAGCCAUCAAUCUAGAAAUGAAUCCCAUGGUUUUCAAAUAAAUCAUUUGUUUUUAAAAA